GCGGCAGUGGCGGAAUCGGUAGACGCGCCAGCUUGAGGGGCUGGUGGUAGAAAUACUGUGGGAGUUCGAGUCUCCCCUGCCGCACCA
Molecule: transfer RNA, 87 nt
Filed under: Myxococcales bacterium
Lineage: Bacteria; Pseudomonadati; Myxococcota; Myxococcia; Myxococcales
Description: tRNA-Leu
Rfam family: tRNA
About the family: Transfer RNA (tRNA) molecules are approximately 80 nucleotides in length. Their secondary structure includes four short double-helical elements and three loops (D, anti-codon, and T loops). Further hydrogen bonds mediate the characteristic L-shaped molecular structure. tRNAs have two regions of fundamental functional importance: the anti-codon, which is responsible for specific mRNA codon recognition, and the 3' end, to which the tRNAs corresponding amino acid is attached (by aminoacyl-tRNA synthetases). tRNAs cope with the degeneracy of the genetic code in two manners: having more than one tRNA (with a specific anti-codon) for a particular amino acid; and 'wobble' base-pairing, i.e. permitting non-standard base-pairing at the 3rd anti-codon position.
Source: RNAcentral